RNAcentral lists this long non-coding RNA (1300 nucleotides) under Macaca fascicularis (crab-eating macaque). Its description in RNAcentral is "lncRNA (ENSMFAG00000047587.1)". The record is from RNAcentral. Lineage: Eukaryota; Metazoa; Chordata; Mammalia; Primates; Cercopithecidae.
AGUCAGUGACUUUUCCUCCACCAGGUUUCCCAGUUUCCAUGGCGACAGCCUGUCCUGAAUGUCCAUCUUUGGGGUGAGGUUUGAGGCUUCCUUGUCUUUUGUCCUCCCCACAAUCAGAUCCCAUUACUGUUUUCAGGUCAUCCCUUGUCUGACCUUCCCCCUAUUCCCCAUCCCCCUAUGCUGAUGGCGGCUGGCCUCCAGCAGUCCUGGGGUCUGGUCCCCUCCAUCCACCACCCUCAGCCUUGGCCAUCUCUACCUUGUCCACCAGAACAGCUUCCUCUUCCUCCCUGAGAAUUCCACCAACCCUUCCUCAGACCCAUCAGAGGCUGGCUCCCUUUCAUCCGAUCAACCAAGGACACACAGGGGUGCCUCCAGACCUCCCUCGCAUCCCUUCCCCACACCAAAAGCCCCUGGUCAGCGUGUGCAAGGACGCCCUCACCCUCUCCUGCGCAUUCUCUCUCCAUCAAGGAACCCUGGCUGGCUCAGCUGUGGGCUCGGGGUCUUUCAUUUGUUUGAAGCCGAAUGCUGAGUCCCUCACCUUCAGAACACGUGAGUGCUACGGACCACUCAUCAUUUCACGCAUGUGCACACACAUCGCCUCUCACACACGCACGCUUUCGCAUACAUGGAGAAAGGCGAGUACUUUCCAGUCAGCAGGGCAGCAGUGGCUCCAUCCUGUCAAGCUACUUUUCCAUAUUUGAUUUCCUUUCACUCCCAGAAAAACCGUGGAAUUCAUGCAUUUUUUUUUCUUCCAGUUUUACAGAUGAGAAAACCAAAGUGUUGAGAGGUAAAUGAAGUACCCCAAACCGGUCAGUGCCAGAAUCUCGAUAACACACAGGCUCCUGUGCGAACCCACACACAGAGUGCAUGUUUCACAGGGAAUAGCUCCGUUCUUAGCUACAGACUCAGGCAGGCUUGGAGUCACUCCUCUCUACAGCCUGAGCUCCUUGGGUCUCCGCCAGAGCCUCCAAGCCUCCCCCCAAUAAUAAUAUUAAUAAUAGUUAUUAUUCUUUGAAUAGUAAUUCACUAAUAGUAUCAGUCUUUGAAAAAGAUAACGGCUUUUCUUCUCUAUUUUCCACAGAAUGUGCUCACAUGUGUUGUGUGAGCACUGCCGUCUCUGUGCUUCUACCACACACUGUCUAAGAGGCUGGGGGUGUCUGCUCCAGCAACUCCAGAUGCCCCUUCCAGGGGCAUCUCCUCCCCUCACUCAGCGCUGCCCCAAGACCCUUCCUACCCAAAGUUCUGUGGCCACAGCUGUGCAGACUUUAUCCUACACUCUGACCCACUCACAAAGCACUGU